Long non-coding RNA from Drosophila yakuba, 662 nucleotides. RefSeq lists it as uncharacterized. NCBI's taxonomy places the organism in Eukaryota, Metazoa, Arthropoda, Insecta, Diptera, Drosophilidae. The transcript has 2 exons. The record is from RefSeq and is a predicted model, not a curated record.
GAAGUCUGAAGUAUCUUAACAGAGCAUUUGGUAUUCAAAAUUAUCGUCCAUAUCGGGCCAUAUCUUAUCUCAUCUCCCUUGGAAAACCCUUCAAAAAGCAGUCAGCGAACGAUGCUCAAAAAGAAAUCCAAUUUAAUGACUGUGAAGCAGCCCCUGCGGAAUCUUAAGGAACCCCACUCAAUCGAUGGACACCCGUUGCACGAUGACUUGUGCUGGUAGGCAAUGCACUGACAAAAAUCAUUACUUACAUGUAUUGUCUUGCUUGUUUUAUUAGUCAGUGUACUCGGAGUGGACUUGGGUCACUAAAACUUAACAAAAUGCCACUAGCAAAUUAUAAAAUAGUUAGUUUAAGGAAAUAAAGUGUAUUAGUAAUUUUUUUUAAGUGGGAAAACAAUUUUUAAAGUCCACCCCGCCCUUCCCAUUUGGAAUUCAAAGUCCGCGUCUUUGUUUUCGUUGUGGCUGUCACUUUGGACGCGGAGCCACGUUAAUGGCAAGUGUAAAAUGCUUUAAGCCAAGACCAAGACCUCCAUCAGCAAAGGAAAACGGAAGGACACAGAGGAAAGUGGCAAAGCAGACCGACGUGAAGCGUCGUUGGGAGCAAAAAGAGUUUAAUUAACACGAAAAUGGUUUCAAUUACAUAAAAUUACGUUUCCUUGCAGUGA